AUACGGAAGGUGCAAGCGUUAAUCGGAAUCACUGGGCGUAAAGCGCUCGUAGGUGGCUUUGUAAGUCAGGUGUGAAAGCCCACGGCUCAACCGUGGAAUUGCCCUUGAUACUGCUGGACUUGAGUUCGGGAGAGGGUAGUGGAAUUCCAGGUGUAGGAGUGAAAUCCGUAGAUAUCCGGAGGAACACCGGUGGCGAAGGCGGCCACCUGGACAGGUACUGACACUGAGGAGCGAAAGCGUGGGGAGC
RNAcentral lists this ribosomal RNA (247 nucleotides) under uncultured bacterium. RNAcentral describes it as "partial 16S ribosomal RNA". It matches the Rfam family "Bacterial small subunit ribosomal RNA", at positions 523 to 769 of the family's 1533-position model. The record is from RNAcentral.